GGAGGGGUGACCGAGUGGUUGAAGGUGCACGAUUGGAAAUCGUGUGUGCCUUUACGGGUACCGCGGGUUCGAAUCCCGCCCUCUCCG
RNAcentral lists this transfer RNA (87 nucleotides) under Myxococcales bacterium. Its description in RNAcentral is "tRNA-Ser". It matches the Rfam family "tRNA". From Rfam's summary of the family: Transfer RNA (tRNA) molecules are approximately 80 nucleotides in length. Their secondary structure includes four short double-helical elements and three loops (D, anti-codon, and T loops). The record is from RNAcentral. Lineage: Bacteria; Pseudomonadati; Myxococcota; Myxococcia; Myxococcales.